This 156-nucleotide small RNA is filed under the name Jeotgalibaca dankookensis. Lineage: Bacteria; Bacillati; Bacillota; Bacilli; Lactobacillales; Carnobacteriaceae. The record is from RNAcentral.
AGUACCAUUUCAAGACAACUGAGAUGAGGAAGUUUGGUUAAAUUCCAACACGGUCCCGCCACUGUAAUCAUAUGAAGACAUAUGGAGUCAGGUCGUUAUCUUAGCUUGCUAAUCAUGCAUGCGUAUCCUGUUUCGAGGUAAAACAGUAUCGUAGUA